Molecule: long non-coding RNA, 209 nt
Filed under: Nicotiana benthamiana
Lineage: Eukaryota; Viridiplantae; Streptophyta; Magnoliopsida; Solanales; Solanaceae
Description: long non-coding RNA (NBEN_LNC008787)
Source: RNAcentral
UUCACACUUCACAGUUCAUACUUCAUAGCCCAGAAGACGAAGAACUUUAACUUGGAGAUAUUGAUUAUGAUGAAGAUGAAGUGAUAAACUGAUGAAGUGAUGCAAAACAUUUGAAAUUACUACUUCAUUAUAAAAAAUGUAAACAUUUCAUUAUCUACUUAUUAAUUUGAAAUUGAGAAAUAAAGUAGCACUUGCAAUAAGUGCAAUUC